AUGGUCAUGUACCUCAGGUGGUGGUGCAGCCCUCCCGUUGCGAUGAUAUGCCUGAGGACGACCUGGUGGUUGUGGUGCUGGUGGUUGCACGUAGUUCUGAUUUUGAUCAACCUCAUCCUCGUAAUGGUCCUCCACCUCUGCAGUAGCAGCAGGAACGGCAGAAGCACCAACAAUAGGUACAACAGCACCAGAAGUUUGACCAGGCUCAAUGGGAACGCGUUGUGCUCGUCCCACUUGAUUUGGAAUCGAUGUUGUUGUUGUUUUAGAGGUGCGUUAGGUGCAGCCGGUGGUGGUGGUCAAAGACGCGCGAGCAAUUCAUUAAACCUGUUAUCGAGCUUUGUUUCGAACGUCUUCUCCAUGCCAUCUAUCUUCUCCGUGGCCUCUUCAAAUCUGUUUAGCACAUCUUGCACCUAUCCACUCAUCAUUUGCUGA
Molecule: ribosomal RNA, 432 nt
Filed under: Triticum aestivum (bread wheat)
Lineage: Eukaryota; Viridiplantae; Streptophyta; Magnoliopsida; Poales; Poaceae
Description: partial small subunit ribosomal RNA
Source: RNAcentral